AUCCAGCUGACAAAUCCCAAAUAGGACGAAACGAACGUCGUGAAU
Schistosoma rodhaini is the source of this 45-nucleotide non-coding RNA. The record is from Rfam. NCBI's taxonomy places the organism in Eukaryota, Metazoa, Platyhelminthes, Trematoda, Strigeidida, Schistosomatidae.